This 468-nucleotide ribosomal RNA is filed under the name uncultured bacterium. RNAcentral's name for it is "partial 16S ribosomal RNA". It matches the Rfam family "Bacterial small subunit ribosomal RNA", at positions 28 to 507 of the family's 1533-position model. The record is from RNAcentral.
GACGAACGCUGGCGGCGUGCUUAACACAUGCAAGUCGAACGGAAAGGCCCUGCUUGCAGGGUGCUCGAGUGGCGAACGGGUGAGUAACACGUGGGUGAUCUGCCCCUUACUUUGGGAUAAGCCUGGGAAACUGGGUCUAAUACUGGAUAGGACCAUGCUGUAGGUGGUGUGGUGGAAAGAUUAGUUUCGGUAAGGGAUGAGCUCGCGGCCUAUCAGCUUGUUGGUGGGGUAAUGGCCUACCAAGGCGUCGACGGGUAGCCGGCCUGAGAGGGUGGACGGCCACAUUGGGACUGAGAUACGGCCCAGACUCCUACGGGGGCAGCAGUGGGGAAUAUUGCACAAUGGGCGCAAGCCUGAUGCAGCGACGCCGCGUGGGGGAUGACGGCCUUCGGGUUGUAAACUCCUUUCAGCCAUGACGAAGCCCUUGUGGUGACGGUAGUGGUAGAAGAAGCACCGGCUAACUACGUG